Molecule: ribosomal RNA, 479 nt
Filed under: uncultured bacterium
Lineage: Bacteria
Description: bacterial SSU rRNA
Rfam family: Bacterial small subunit ribosomal RNA
Source: RNAcentral
GAUCAUGGCUCAGAACGAACGCUGGCGGCAUGGUUAGGCAUGCAAGUCGAACGGGAGCAGCAAUGCUCCAGUGGCGCAAGGGUGAGGAACACGUGAACAACCUGCCUUCGAGUUGGGGAUAGCUUCUGGAAACGGGAGAUAAUACCGAAUAACAUCAUUGGAUCGCAUGAUUUGAUGAUCAAAGCAGCAAUGCGCUUGAAGAGGGGUUCGCGUCCCAUUAGCUAGUUGGUGAGGUAACGGCCCACCAAGGCGAUGAUGGGUAGCUGGUCUGAGAGGACGAUCAGCCACAUUGGGACUGAGAUACUGCCCAGACUCCUACGGGAGGCUGCAGUCGAGAAUUUUGGGCAAUGGACGAAAGUCUGACCCAAGCAAUGCCGCGUGCGGGAUGAAGGUCUUCGGAUUGUAAACCGCUGUCAAGAGGGACGAAACAUGACGGUACCUCUGGAGGAAGCCACGGCUAACUACGUGCCAGCCGCGGC